CACCUUUUAAGGCUGAGGGCGCUUCCUCUUCCAGAGUUCAUUUUUAUUACUCGAACAUAAUAAACCUACACACGAUCUCUGCCGACGUCGAGAAUCAUCUUCCUGUAACGGAUUCUCCAGCCUCCUAUAUAUCGAGAUCGUCUAUGACUCUAUGAUUAAUUACAUUAAACUGUUCAUUUUCCUACCAGAGCUUCUCUCAACCAGAGCAGGUUUCAUCCAAUCAUGGAGAAUGUCUUCCUCUGCUGCGAGGCUUUCCAACUUGGCCAGACUUCUUAUUUCAUCGUCUCUAGCCUCAUCCGCUUCUGGGAUUCCCGUAACGUCAAUAAAAACGGUGAAUUUAUGGGAAUCAACCUCAUCUUCCUUGAUGAAAAGAAUUUUGUGAUCCACGGCUCAUCCCAGCUGCUCGCGCAAGUCAGUUAUGUGCUGAAUUGAUCGUUAAAUUUGAUCGGUUUGAAGUUGCCCGAUGCACGAUUACGCAUCAUCCUUUUGUUAUCCCCAUAAAACUGUUGAUGAAGUCGUGACAUCUCCUCCUACGAAUCAACCUUCAAAAAAUUCAUGCUUUGCAAUUUUGACCAUGUCCAAGCUCUUUCAAACACAAAUUUGGAACGGUAAAGCAUUCUAAAACAUUUUCUUUUCCAUGUUACUAUUCGACGACUAGACUAAGAGAGAGGCACCAACUCUUGGCAACGAUAGUGCGUUGUUUGUGGUCUUGGACAGGGAGAUAACUAAGCUAACAAAGAAAAACAUACCAACUCUGGCUUUUGAGCAGGUAUGUUCUUUUUGCUCAUACACUCCAUUUAAUUGGAUGUAAUGUUAGUUAUAUUUCUUAGCAGGUAUGUUCUUUUUGAGCAUCUUAUAUUUUUGUUUUCUCUUUUUUUUUUUUUCUUUAGGUGAAUAUAGCUAAAAUCUAGAGAUGAUUCGGUAAAACAAAUGAUCAUAACUUCUGCCAUACGAUUAGGUAAACAUCAUGACAUUUUCAUGUAUGUUAAAUCAGUUUCGUACAAUUUGUGUUUAUCUAAAGCAGAAAUAAAUUCAGAUUUGUGAGUCACCACUCACCAAAGGCAUUACUUGGGAGUGAGAUUGAGUCAUCACUCACCAGCAUUGUAAUAAUCAACGCUAUUAGGCAACCAUUUCACAGCUGUGAGAGUCAGCUAAACACUGCUCAGUUAUAGAACUCAAAUGUUCAAUCGUGACAGCUCAGUAGCUAACUGAACAUUUUCUGAUUAUUUUGAUAUUUGUUACUUUCAGCUUUUAUUACUUUCUGUUUAAAUACAUGUCCUCUAAUUACUUUCGAAGACUUCUUGACUUCGGUUGUGCCGUAAGAUCUCAGUUGUGAAGUUGCUAAAGUCGGUUUUAUCUUCUCCUCCUAGGAAGAAGCUAACCUGUUGACAACACAAGCUUUGACCUGGAACAUGUUAAAAAGCGGACAUGCUACUGCUUUAUCUGGGAAUGAAGUUAACUUCUGAAUUUGUUUACAACGAGAAUGAUCCUGCUAACAAACAUUUUCUCCACAUAGCUGAAGAUAGCCUAAUAUCUCUGGGUGAGAAGUUCGUAAGGUGAGAUACAUGGAGAUCUUGUGAAAGUGUAUGGAAUGAGUUUUCGUUAUUUACGGUGGAAUAAUCUCGGUGGAUUGAUUAUGCACUGAUGUUCAAUCAUCUAACAGUAAGUCCCUCCGAGUAAAUGAAGAUCAUUGAAUUUUUUAUUUUUUUUAUUACUUUUUGUGUCUUAAUUCUUUUUGUUUAUUGUAUCUUAAUCUUACAAACAUGAAAGACUAGAUACAAUCCAAUAGCUACGAAAUAUUUAGGUUCUCUAUA
Molecule: long non-coding RNA, 1814 nt
Organism: Brassica napus (rape)
Lineage: Eukaryota; Viridiplantae; Streptophyta; Magnoliopsida; Brassicales; Brassicaceae
Exons: 5
Source: RefSeq, a predicted model, not a curated record